AUGGUGUUGCUCCCCAGACUUUGGAUAAGACACUCGAAAUCAUGAAAUGGAUUUUAACUCUUUUGUUUGUUGUCUUUUCGCAGAUUCACAUAUUCUGAGUUGGAAGGGAUCCACAAGGAUCCUCGAGUCCAGCUCUCAAGUAAAUGUCCAGUACAGGGAUCACACCCACCACCUUGGUGUUACCAAUUCCACGUUCUAACCAACUGCAACUCCGGAAAAUUAACAAAUUUAACUACAAAUAUCCGUGUGUUCUGUCAAUGAACCCACACAUCACCAUGAGGAUAUCAAAACAUCCCAGCUGUAUGCUGCUCUGCUUGAGGAUUUUGAAGCACAGAUUGCCUGGUCUGGUGGAAAUAUUUGUGGUGGAACUAAAUAGGUGCAAGCUCUGCCAUUUCAUAAGCAGGAUCAGAAGUAAGAUCAGGAGACCCCUGGCUCAAAUCUGUGAAACUGAUAUGGCAUGUUGAAUUUCAGGCUGCCCUAAAAUGGACCAAGGUAAAAAUUAACUUUGGAGAUGAAAAGAAUGAAAACAAAGAAAAUCUUGCAAAAAAUUGCUCUCUUGUCACAUGUGUCUCAGGUGCCCUUAAAUAAGAGUCCUUGGCUGUUGUGACAUGAGCCCAAGCAUAAUCCUCAUGCAUCUCACUCCUGUGAAAUGAACACCUUAUUUGGAGAAGUAGCAGCUUAUUUUCAACUUGAGGAACCCUGCAGUGCUGACUUCUCUUCCAUUUCCAAGAGAAAGGUCAGAUAAACCCAGUCUAUGCCUCUUAGCAUCUGUCAUGUUUCCUGUGUUAGAACCCAGACAUUUGCUGAGGAAAUUAAAAGCCCCUAAGACUCAAUCAAGGUGUAAACAUCAUAGGAAAAUCAGUUGAAAAUCCAGUUGAAAGCUGGAUGUAUAGGCUCAACUCGCCCUAUAGAAGAUGCUCAUGCCUUAAAGCUGGGUUCUGAGAGAAAACAGCAUUUCUGAAUGUGUGGAAUGUAGCACUAGAGCCACAAGAUGCUGAGAAAAUCCAUUUAAAGGGUCAUGAUGUGGAUCAUAGCUUUAAAUGUGUUUAUUGUCACAUGACUGAGUAGAUCUUAAUGGAAAAUCAUUGAAAAUCACACAUGUGGAUAAAAGAAACCUUCCAGUGCUUCAUCUGUGAGAGUGCUUUUAUAUCACUUUAUAAAGUGCCUGGAAAGUGCACAGAAACAGCCAUCAGAGGAAACCUCAUCUCAGUGCACAUCAUCUGAAACUGAGCAGAUAAGCAAUUUUCAUGUAGCUUGCUUGGCAUUAUCAGGAUAUGGUUAUGUGCCCACACAGUGAUUUUACCAACCUUCAGAGUUACUGGCUUCAGGUCCAUCACAACAUCCUUACAUGUGUUGGUGGUGUCUUGACUGAACCACGCUGGUGCACACUGGAUUGGAGAGUCAGGUUAAAAAAACCCCAAACAGCACAACAAAUGAACAAACAAAAACCAACUCAAACAAAUUACUUUUCUUGAGAAGCUCUAUUUUAUGUGUGUGUCACAAACAUGGCACAGAAUGAGGAGCAAGGUUUAUUUUCACUAUAACUUUGUCUUUCAUCACCUGAAAGUUUCAUA
Molecule: long non-coding RNA, 1574 nt
Organism: Camarhynchus parvulus
Lineage: Eukaryota; Metazoa; Chordata; Aves; Passeriformes; Thraupidae
Exons: 3
Source: RefSeq, a predicted model, not a curated record